AACGAACGCUGGCGGCAUGCCUAACACAUGCAAGUCGAACGAGACCUUCGGGUCUAGUGGCGCUCGGGUGCGUCACGCGUGGGAACCUGCCUGUAGGUUCGGAAUAACUCAGUUAAGUUUGAGCUAAUACCGGAUGAUGUCUUCUGACACAAGAUUUAGCGCCUUUGUGUGCGCCGGCGUUGGUUUAGCUUGUUGGUGGUGUAAAGGCCUAUGAAGGCUACGCUCCAUAGCUGGGUGGAGAGGAUGCGCAGCCACACUGGGACUGAGCCACGGCCCAGACUCUUACGGGAGGCAGGAGUGGGGAAUAUUGGACAAUGGGGUAAGGCAAGAUCCAGCAAGGCCGCGUGAGUGAUGAAGUUCGGAGGGAAGUAAAGCUGGUUUACACGAGACGAUAAUGACAGUAUCGGGAGAAUAAGCUCCGGCUAACUCCGUG
Molecule: ribosomal RNA, 433 nt
Filed under: uncultured bacterium
Lineage: Bacteria
Description: partial 16S ribosomal RNA
Rfam family: Bacterial small subunit ribosomal RNA
Source: RNAcentral